UAACCUAUCCAGUGAUGGAUAACUGAACUGUUAGAAGUCAGCAGACGUCAUAGUAGCAUGAGAAACGCGUUAUCAUGUGAAGGAC
Caloramator mitchellensis is the source of this 85-nucleotide non-coding RNA. The record is from Rfam. NCBI's taxonomy places the organism in Bacteria, Bacillati, Bacillota, Clostridia, Eubacteriales, Clostridiaceae.